RNAcentral lists this ribosomal RNA (264 nucleotides) under uncultured bacterium. Its description in RNAcentral is "partial 16S ribosomal RNA". It matches the Rfam family "Bacterial small subunit ribosomal RNA", at positions 89 to 354 of the family's 1533-position model. The record is from RNAcentral.
UGGCGACCGGCGCACGGGUGAGUAACACGUAUCCAACCUGCCGAUGACUCGGGGAUAGCCUUUCGAAAGAAAGAUUAAUACCCGAUGGCAUAGUUCUUCCGCAUGGUAGAACUAUUAAAGAAUUUCGGUCAUCGACGGGGAUGCGUUCCAUUAGCUUGUUGGCGGGGUAACGGCCCACCAAGGCAUCGAUGGAUAGGGGUUCUGAGAGGAAGGUCCCCCACAUUGGAACUGAGACACGGUCCAAACUCCUACGGGAGGCAGCAG